This 441-nucleotide ribosomal RNA is filed under the name uncultured bacterium. Its description in RNAcentral is "partial 16S ribosomal RNA". It matches the Rfam family "Bacterial small subunit ribosomal RNA", at positions 338 to 795 of the family's 1533-position model. The record is from RNAcentral.
CCUACGGGUGGCAGCAGUGGGGAAUAUUGCACAAUGGGGGAAACCCUGAUGCAGCGACGCCGCGUGAGCGAGGAAGUAUUUCGGUAUGUAAAGCUCUGUCAGCAGGGAAGAAGAAUGACGGUACCUGAAGAAGAAGCACCGGCUAACUACGUGCCAGCAGCCGCGGUAAUACGUAGGGGGCAAGCGUUAUCCGGAUUUACUGGGUGUAAAGGGAGCGUAGACGGUGCAGCAAGUCUGAUGUGAAAGGUCGGGGCCCAACCCCGGGACUGCUCUGGGAACUGUCCGGCUGGAGUGCGGGAGGGGCAGGCGGAAUUCCUGGUGUAGCGGUGAAAUGCGUAGAUAUCAGGAGGAACACCGGCGGCGAAGGCGGCCUGCUGGACCGCGACUGACGUUGAGGCUCGAAAGCGUGGGGAGCGAACAGGAUUAGAUACCCCUGUAGUC